This 274-nucleotide ribosomal RNA is filed under the name uncultured bacterium. RNAcentral's name for it is "partial 16S ribosomal RNA". It matches the Rfam family "Bacterial small subunit ribosomal RNA", at positions 523 to 796 of the family's 1533-position model. The record is from RNAcentral.
AUACGAAGGGGGCUAGCGUUGUUCGGAAUUACUGGGCGUAAAGCGCGCGUAGGCGGAUUGGUCAGUUAGGGGUGAAAUCCCAGGGCUUAACCCUGGAACUGCCUCUAAUACUGCCAGUCUUGAGUUCGGGAGAGGUGAGUGGAAUUCCUAGUGUAGAGGUGAAAUUCGUAGAUAUUAGGAAGAACACCAGUGGCGAAGGCGGCUCACUGGCCCGAUACUGACGCUGAGGUACGAAAGCGUGGGGAGCAAACAGGAUUAGAUACCCUAGUAGUCC